GGUUAAACCCAAGGAUCUUUUUCAGAGGGUAUGAGAAAGCUUUAAAAUUUAAAAGGAGAAAGAUUUAUAGUAAAACGGUGAGAUUUGAUUGUUUAUUCAAUAUGAGAAUUUAUGAAAUAACUGAUAAUAUUUCGUCAUGAUCAGUUUUUUAAAGUUAUUUGUCUCUAUUUAAGGAUAACAAAGCUGAUGUAAUUUUAAAAUACAAUGCAGACGAAGCUAGAAGUCUGAAGGCAUAUGGCGAGCUUCCAGAGCAUGCUAAAAUCAAUGAAACUGAUACAUUUGGUCCUGGAGAUGAUGAUGAAAUUCAGUUUGAUGACAUUGGAGAUGAUGAUGAAGAUAUUGAUGACAUCUAAAUUGAACUCAACAUUUUACAUUCCAUCUUUUCUGAAGAUUGUCCUACAAUUUGGAUUUUGACCAUGACAAAGAAGAUUAAAAUUUCAUUAGCAUGAAUGCAAUUUGUUAAAGCAGACUGAUUUGUUUCUAAGAUAUUUUUGGUUUUUUUAAAACUGAUAAUAAUGCUGAAUUAUAUUAAGUGAGAUGUUAAGCCCACUUUGUUCUUUUAAUGUAAUGGAGCUUAUGGGUAGAAGACCAUGUCUACUAAUUACAGAAAAAAAAAAAAAAUGCAUUGCUGCUUUUCCUAC
Molecule: small RNA, 641 nt
Filed under: Pongo abelii (Sumatran orangutan)
Lineage: Eukaryota; Metazoa; Chordata; Mammalia; Primates; Hominidae
Description: processed transcript
Source: RNAcentral